RNAcentral lists this ribosomal RNA (577 nucleotides) under Escherichia coli. RNAcentral's name for it is "partial 23S ribosomal RNA". It matches the Rfam family "Bacterial large subunit ribosomal RNA", at positions 1 to 619 of the family's 2925-position model. Lineage: Bacteria; Pseudomonadati; Pseudomonadota; Gammaproteobacteria; Enterobacterales; Enterobacteriaceae. The record is from RNAcentral.
GUUGUAUAGUCAAGUAAUUAAGUGCAUGUGGUGGAUGCCUUGGCAGUCAGAGGCGAAGAAAGACGUGAUAGCCUGCGAAAAGCUCCGGGGAGGCGGCAAAUAUCCUGUGAUCCGGAGAUGUCUGAAUGGGGAAACCCACCGGCUAUAAGGUCGGUAUCAUAAACUGAAUACAUAGGUUUAUGAGGCGAACGCGGAGAAGUGAAACAUCUCAGUAUCCGUAGGAAAAGAAAUCAAUUGAGAUUCCCUCAGUAGCGGCGAGCGAAAGGGGAACAGCCCAUUAAGUCAUAUCAGUUUUAGUGGAAUGCUCUGGGAAGUGCAACCAUAGUGGGUGAUAGUCCUGUACACGAAAGGGCUGAUAUGAUGAUGUCGAGUAGGGCGAGGCACGUGAAACCUUGUCUGAAUAUAGGGGGACCAUCCUCUAAGGCUAAAUACUCCUGACUGACCGAUAGUGAACCAGUACCGUGAGGGAAAGGCGAAAAGAACCCCUGUGAGGGGAGUGAAAUAGAUCCUGAAACCGCAUGCAUACAAGCAGUGGGAGCCACUUUGUGUGGUGACUGCGUACCUUUUGUAUAAUGGG